Molecule: small RNA, 423 nt
Filed under: Histoplasma capsulatum var. duboisii H88
Lineage: Eukaryota; Fungi; Ascomycota; Eurotiomycetes; Onygenales; Ajellomycetaceae
Description: Histoplasma capsulatum H88 hypothetical RNA
Source: RNAcentral
CCGAGACCGCUACCUUCCUAUUCGAUGGAUGUGGGCUUGCCAAGAGAGGUCGCUACCGUACCGACAUCACAUGGCGCUGGUGUACUCCGUACAACGCUGGGAUUUUCUGUCGAUGCGAUAGAAAAGCUCCCAAACCAAAGCCUAUUUUUAUUUCUGCUUGUCAUGUUGAAAAGUUUUCCACGACGGAUACGUUCACCAUGAUUCAUUCAUCCCGUUUAGAUCCAACCAGCGUUUCAAUGAAUAAAAAAAAAGAAAACCAAAAAAAGAGAGCCUGUCCCCCGCUGGGCUAAAAUUGGCAAACUUGCGCUUACAGCUUUGAUCAGAGAGUAGCACCGCCAUUAUCGAUACUAGUACUCUGUGGAAAUACCACGAUUUAUUUUAAAGUUCCAUUGUUUUCUCAGCGAUUAUUAUUUCAUUUUUCUC